Molecule: ribosomal RNA, 759 nt
Filed under: uncultured archaeon
Lineage: Archaea
Description: bacterial SSU rRNA
Rfam family: Archaeal small subunit ribosomal RNA
Source: RNAcentral
GGAUAACUUACCCUUAGGACUGGGAUAACUCUGGGAAACUGGGGAUAAUACUGGAUAUUAGGCUAUGCCUGGAAUGGUUUGCCUUUGAAAUGUUUUUUUUCGCCUAAGGAUAGGUCUGCGGCUGAUUAGGUCGUUGGUGGGAUAAUGGCCCACCAAGCCGAUGAUCGGUACGGGUUGUGAGAGCAAGGGCCCGAAGAUGGAACCUGAGACAAGGUUCCAGACCCUACGGGGUGCAGCAGGCGCGAAACCUCCGCAAUGUACGAAAGUGCGACGGGGGGAUCCCAAGUGUUAUGCUUUUUUGUAUGACUUUUCAUUAGUGUAAAAAGCUUUUAGAAUAAGAGCUGGGCAAGACCGGUGCCAGCCGCCGCGGUAACACCGGCAGCCCGAGUGGUAGCUGUUUUUAUUGGGCCUAAAGCGUUCGUAGCCGGUUUGAUAAGUUUUUGGUGAAAGCUUGUAGCUUAACUAUAAGAAUUGCUGGAGAUACUAUUAGACUUGAAGUCGGGAGAGGUUAGAGGUACUACCGGGGUAGGGGUGAAAUCCUAUAAUCCUGGGAGGACCACCUGUGGCGAAGGCGUCUAACUGGAACGAUCUUGACGGUGAGUAACGAAAGCCAGGGGCGCGAACCGGAUUAGAUACCCGGGUAGUCCUGGCCGUAAACGAUGUGGACUUGGUGUUGGAAUGGCUUUGAGUUGUUCCGGUGCCGAAGGGAAGCUGUUAAGUCCACCGCCUGGGAAGUACGGUCGCAAGACUGAAACUUAA